UUUUGCUAUUGCUUCUUGUGCUCAGACGACAAAUAUCAUAAAGAGUAUAGGUGGCCUUGGGCGGACGCGAGCCAGCCGGGGCCGGCAGCGGACGAGCCGCAGGUCCGCCAAAGCAAUAAGGGUGCGUUUUCAGGGGUGGAGAUAGAACUCCCCCGGGGGGGAGAGCAUUUCUCUUAAUGAUCCUUCCGCAGGUUCACCUACGGAAA
Molecule: unclassified non-coding RNA, 206 nt
Filed under: uncultured fungus
Lineage: Eukaryota; Fungi
Description: sequence contains ITS1
Source: RNAcentral